This 74-nucleotide transfer RNA is filed under the name Minisyncoccota bacterium. RNAcentral describes it as "tRNA-Asp". It matches the Rfam family "tRNA". Rfam says of the family: Transfer RNA (tRNA) molecules are approximately 80 nucleotides in length. Their secondary structure includes four short double-helical elements and three loops (D, anti-codon, and T loops). The record is from RNAcentral. Lineage: Bacteria; Bacillati; Minisyncoccota.
GCGGGCGUAGCUCAGCUGGCUAGAGCAAUCCCCUGUCACGGGAUAGGUCGUGGGUUCAAGUCCCAUCGCUCGCG